This is an RNA transcript of Drosophila miranda, 1874 nucleotides long. RefSeq lists it as uncharacterized. The record is from RefSeq and is a predicted model, not a curated record. NCBI's taxonomy places the organism in Eukaryota, Metazoa, Arthropoda, Insecta, Diptera, Drosophilidae. The transcript is spliced from 2 exons.
CGGGAUCAGACGCACGAAAAUCAGAAUAAGGCAGCGAUACUUUUGGCCAGGGCUAAGCAGAGACGUAACACGAUUCGUACGAACAUGCGAAAGCUGCCAAAAAUUUAAGGUAUCGCAACAAGCAGCGGCAGGCAAAAUGCUGACCAAAAUCGCAAACGCACCAUGGGAAACAAUAUGCGUCGAUUUCGUGGGACCACUCCCAAGAUCGCCGCACGGCAACACCGCACUAAUCGUGUUUAUCGAUAAAUUUUCGAAAUGGGUGGAGGUCACACCGACAAGAAGCGCAACAGCUGACGCAUUCCUAAAGGCGUUCAGAGAAAAAAUACUGGCGAGGGGAGGUGCACCAAAGCGAGUGAUCUCAGACAACGGCGUACAAUUUACAAGCAGAAAGACGAAACAGGUAAUGAAAACGUGGGGCAUCACCCAACAAUUCACGGCACCAUACACACCACAAGAAAACCCAACCGAACGAGCGAACCGAACACUAAAGACGAUGAUCGCACAAUUCGCGGGAGGGAAACACAACAAAUGGGACGAACAACUACCAGAACUAACCCUAGCGAUAAAUAGCAGCAAGUCAGAAGCAACAGGAUUUAGUCCAGCAUACCUGAUAUUCGGGAGAGAACUUAGAUUGCCGGGCAACCUAUUCGACGAGGUAACACUAGGGUCAGGGUUCAACAAUCAAACAAACCAGGAAAACACCGACAAACGAAAACAAACAGAAACAAUAGCAAGGAAAAACAUGGAAGAAGCAGCAGCAAAACAAGCAAGACAUUACAAUUUGCGAAAGCGAGCAUGGAAGCCAAAAAGAGGGGACUUAGUAUGGGUACGAACGCACCCACUAUCGAAAAAAAUCGACAAGACAACAGCGAAACUAGAACCGAAAUACACCGGUCCGUGCAAGACAGAUGGAAAAUAAAGAAGAUAAAUUCAACAUUUCGGCCCGGAAAUUCAAAGAAAGGAUGGCACAGGCCAGCCACAAAAACCGAGCGGCAAAACUACUAUCGGCCGCCCCCCCACUCAGCUCACGGAUGAAAGUAUCAGGAACAAAGGUGUCAGCACCCAGGUAAACAGCAACAAACAAAACGAUGGAAACCACGGCAGGACACUCGAGAGAGACUCGAGGAGAACAAGUAGCAACGCACAAUGAAGUAAUCCCAACAAAAAAGAGGAUCAGCUGGGCAAACCAGGCCAACCUACAGGAACAAACGGCACGAAGAAUCAGCGAACAACGAGGCCCGGAACUUUCCUGGGCAAAACAAGUGGAAGACGAAGAGUCCGACCGGGACGUGCUAGACCUAAGCCCCGAGCGGCCAACACCAGAACCGGAAACCCAGAAACCCAUCCAGAGAGGCACCAUCCCGGGCGAAUGGGAGGUCCCGGAAAAAUUCGAACUAGCGACCACGGCGAUCGAACUAGUCAAAGCAAAACUCCACGACCGCCCAAAACACACGCAACGACGGUACAAACUAUGGAACGAGAAACAGGAGACGUGUUGGGUGAAGAUCGGCCGAGCUGGAGAUGUCCGCAUCAGCGCAUGGUUCCAAACAAAGUCAAUUGGCGAAGCUCCACUGGGAAAGGAGAGGGGAGUGUGACGCCCAGCGCCAGGAAGACCAAGCGCCGGCGCCACAAACACCACAACAAUAUCACUAGAAACACCAAGACAAGCCAUGAAGACUAUAAAAUAAGUAUUAGUAGGAUAAGGAGAACAUAAGCUACAAAUACAUGAAGACCUGCCACAUAAGAAAUAAAUAUAAAUAAACAAACAAUAAAAGAUACAUAAAACCAACCACAGCUGAUCACCACCAAUGGGCCCGUAGCACAGCCACCCACGGUCACACCCACAGCUGACCGCCCCAAGUGUGACCAUAACC